Tympanuchus pallidicinctus (lesser prairie-chicken) is the source of this 929-nucleotide long non-coding RNA. RefSeq lists it as uncharacterized. NCBI's taxonomy places the organism in Eukaryota, Metazoa, Chordata, Aves, Galliformes, Phasianidae. The record is from RefSeq and is a predicted model, not a curated record. The transcript is spliced from 5 exons.
GCUACAGCGUGCUGCAGCUCCUCAUCGCACUCGUCACUGAACUACAGAAGCACAGGGCACCGAAGGCACUCUACCUGUCAGAUGGCAGAAUACACACCUGCUCCUAAUCUCACAAUGCCAUCUGAAAAUGGAACAGAAAGAAGCAGCUCUGCCAUUACCUUUACAUACGGGCUGUCUGGGACGCAUCACCGUGGCGGAGCAGCAGGCUGCUGCCUUCCUUCCCAGGAUCCUGGCUUUUUCCCAGGGAAAACCUAUUUCGUGGCUUAUGGUUUUUAAUUGAGACCAUUUCGAUUUGUUGCUGAUUCUGUUUUGAAGACACUGUUUCCAUCAGCAUGUCUUAAUAUACUAAACGUGUCCCCUAAGCCCAUCCUUGAAGCUUGGCGCUACGAUUCCCUGGUACAACUUUAUGGUUUGGAAGACUUGUGUACACACACAUUCCCGACGUAGCAGAGUCCCCUACAACAACCAGGAGCUACAGUUAUAAUUUCAGUGCAUGUUUCAAACCUGAAGCGGGACAGAAGUCACACAACUGGAAACGAAACAGCUCGUGAAUGGUGAUUUAUUUACAGAGACUGCUUCCAGCAGGAGAACUCAGUCUGCAUCCCACGCUUCCAUUGGAUAUUCAACAAGGGGUGAGGUACGCUGGGAAUACAAAGGACUAGUAGAGAAGAGCUGGACAUGUCAUUUGUGACUCAUUCUUUUAAUUCACCGUGCUAAUCAACUGAACUGCCACAAUCUCCCAAGGUAAUUGUAUCUUUAUAAUAGUUGAAAGCAGUGGGCAAAAAGGCAUGGAUAGAUGGGGAAAGGCCUUCCCUUUGCCUGCUGAGAAACAGCGCGAUACUCCUUCUGCGAGAGACUAAUGGGGCCUUUUUAGAAAAAUCUGGAACUUUCAUAUCUCUGCACCCUGAUCAUUUAAUGUCUCAACUUUU